UGCAUGGGACAUGAAAAAAAAAAAUAAAUAAAAAUGAAUUUAUUUAGUGUUCAGAGUGCAAACCUAAAUCAUGUUUUUUCAGACUGUGAGACUUUUGUCCAGCGUCAUCCAGUGACAGGAUACGAGCACUAUCGCCAGUGGGUGGAACGUGUAGCGGCAGGGGAGAGCGGGGUGCUCGUCCCAGGGAAGCCCCUCCUCCUGGCCGAGACGUCGGGCACAUCCGGACCCCCCAGCAUGCUGCUUAGCACAAAAGAGACAAACUCAGAGUUCUUUCUGCAGGGUGUGGCUGUAUGCCUGGAUGCCAUGAAGAAGGCCUUUCCUGCCACGGAGAGGUUGCAGCUCACAACCAAGUUUUUCUACCAGCCCAUCUUCCGCCAGUCGAAAGCGGGAAUCCCUGUCGGGCCGAACUGUUGGGCGCCGGCCGCCUCCCGCAUGCUGCUCGACCUCUACACCACUCCGGCUCCUGCCUUCCAAGUUGCCAGCGAGCGCGAUGCCCUCUACCUGCACCUGCUCUUUGCCCUCAAAGACUUGAAUGUAGGGAUGCUGGAGGCCAACUUUGCCUCCAGCAUCUCUUAUGCGUUUAGUGCUCUGCAGGAGUGGUGGCAGGAGCUGGUGGAGGACGUAGAGCUGGGCCGGGUCAGCCCUCGCCUGCACAUUGAGGAGGGGGUUCGAAAGAGUCUGGACGAGCUGCUCCGGCCAGACCCGAAGCGGGCGGCCGAUCUUCGGUCGCGGUUCGAGGUCGGCUUCCGGGGCAUCGCCCUCAGACUGUGGCCUCGGCUCAACCUUGUGCUGACCGUGGAUUCGGGAUCCAACCAAAUAUACGGAGAGCUGUUGAGGCAGCAGUGCUGUGAGGGCGUGCCCUUCUAUUCGCCCUUCUACGCUGCCACAGAAGGCUUGAUUGGAGUGAACCUGUGGCCAACAGAGGAGCGGCGACAGUACCUACUGUGUCCACGCUCCAUGUUCUGCGAGUUCAUUGCCGAAGCUGACCUGGAGGAUGAUCAGCCGUGCACGGUGAUGAUGGACCAGGUGCAGGAGGGGCAGUGCUAUGAACUGGUGGUCACCAACGCCUCGGGCCUCUACAGAUAUCGUAUCGGAGACGUGGUGAAGGUGGUUAGAUUCUACCAUCAGUGUCCGGUAGUGGAAUUUCAGUACAGACGGGGGCAAAUGCUCAGUGUGCGUGGCGAGAAGAUAUCUGAAGCAGUGUUCCUGGGAGCCUUGAAGCGAGCUGUAAGCCAGUGGCCAGGAGCGGUGAUCGUGGACUACUGCUGUGCAGAAAGUGGCAUUCUAGGUCAGAGCUCCGGAGGCUCAGACCCUCACUAUCAGGUGUUUCUGGAAAUGCAAGGCGUGAGGAAUCUCACUGAGGAGCAGCGCUACAAGCUUGACCACUGUCUUCAGGAAGACUCCGCCAUCUACAAAUCGUUCAGGUUCAAAGGCAGCAUUGGCCCAAUGAGGGUGCACCUGGUUGCUAGAGGUGCCUUUUUGGAGUUGCACGGCAACAUGAUGGCUUCCUCACACACUUCCCCCAAUACGUUCAAAAUGCACAGAGUGCUGCGCAGGAAGGAGUGGGUUGACUUCCUGCUGGGGAAGAUAAUCUCCUAGGUGCCGGUGAAGGGGCCUUCUGAGAAUGAACCCAUGUGGAGAAGGAGCGCAUCUGAUUCACGGAUAUUGCCUAAGGUCGAUUGAGCCGCCUUCCUUUUUUUGGACGCUUUUUUUUUACCGUUGACUCUCUCAGCAUGGGCUUUCAUUUGUUUGUUUUUUUUUCUCAGUCUCUAUGCUGUGGUACGUUUGGAGGCUAUGACCAAGACCUCAGGUCAGGUGUUGGCCAUUUUCUGCUUUACGACAAAAAGGUGGGCAACAAAAUUUAAGGCCGUAUAACACGGAAAUGAAUUCGCCCAACAUACGUAUAGGUACAGGGUGUAAAUUCGCACACAGGUGGAUUUAGGGGUGCUGCACUGGUGGUUCAGGUAUCCCUGGUGCAUGCAGAGACCUCCGUGCCUUUGAGUGUUGCUGUAGGGAAGGGCUCCUGGGCACAGGCCACUCCUGGUGCUGAUGGGGGUACUUGGUGAGCAGAACGGGCACUGCAGGGGACUGUAUCGUGGUGGUCACUGACUUUUUCCACUGAGCCAUCUUGUGUAAGCACUUAAAUAUUUUGCUGGUUCAGUGCUGAGCAAAACAGCCACAUGCCACCCUGAUCUGUUUUUGAUGCUUCUGGGGGCAUUGAUGCUAUCAGAAGGUGGUUUGAGAAGCAACACGACUGGACUAUGAGGAGACGCACCUUCAGCAGGAAGGAAGAAUGGUGCCCGGUUCCUGCUCAGGUCCUAUUCUGUUUGCUUGCAUGCUAGGUGUCCUUGUCUCCACAGAGUUGCCUAAUAUCUCCCCAUGUAAUGUUCUGGUCUCCUCUUUCUCAUUCUCCUCUGUACAGCUAAAGUUGGAUUUAUAUAAUACAAAAAAAGCUGUAUUCAGACCAUAGUGUGAUGGGAGUUACAGAUCCAGCACAUAAAGUUUAUUCUGUGAAGCAUCAGCAUCAUAAAGACAGGCAGCUCCACUGAAUGACAUGUCAGCUGGUAAACUUUCCAACCUCAUCAUUCGGAGGGACGUGGCAGCUCUCCCAGAAUGCAGUACCUCUGGGCAGUCACUCAGACACAUGUUACAUGUGGUUAUCGGUUCUGAUGCCGAGGCGCACAACAGAUCAUGCUGUCCCGCCACAAGUUCUGUAACUCAUCUGAACUGAACGUUUCCAGCAGUUCGGACCCAGUGGAUCAUUACAACCACGUAGUAUUAUUACAGUGCAUUGCAAUGUAAGAAUGUAUUCCAAUGUAUUCCAAUGUAUUGCAAUGUAACAAUGGAUUACAAUAUAUAACAUUGUAUCACAAUAUCUUACAACAAGGUAUUACAAUGUAUCCUAGUGCUUUCACUGCUCCCUAAAAAAAAAGACACCGAGCGGCCUGCACACACAGCUGCUGCUCCAGAGGUCCUCGGACACGAAAAGAGUCUGUAAUGAACGCUGCUUGACGCCGCGGUUUUUCGUUCGGUUCGGAUUGACGAGCAGGGAUUUCAAGCCACUUCAAGCCCCCCCGAAAUUGGGGUUGGCUGCAGGAGAAGGUCACCCAGCCGGCGAAGGAGCUCAUCGUCAUCACAUCGUUCCUCUUACUUCCUAUUUGGUGUACUGUAACUGUGCUGUACUGUGGUGCCUAAGUUAGAAUGCAGAGGUUACUGGUUUGAAUCCCACUGUACUGAGCUAAGGUAUUACAUGUGAUGUGUUCGUUUAUCAGACACUU
Molecule: RNA transcript, 3278 nt
Organism: Scleropages formosus (Asian bonytongue)
Lineage: Eukaryota; Metazoa; Chordata; Actinopteri; Osteoglossiformes; Osteoglossidae
Gene: ghdc
Gene name: GH3 domain containing
Exons: 9
Source: RefSeq, a predicted model, not a curated record